CCCUUAGAUGUUCUGGGCCGCACACGCGCUACACUGAAGGAGGCAGCGUGUACUCCUGGAUCGAAAGAUUUGGGUAACCCGCGAAUCUCCUUCGUGCUAGGGAUUGAGGUUUGCAAUUAUCCUUCAUGAACGAGGAAUUCCCAGUAAGUGCAAGUCAUAAGUUUGCGCUGACUACGUCCCUGCCCUUUGUACACACCGCCCGUCGCUACUACCGAUUGAAUGAUUUAGUGAGGACUUCGGACUGGGACUGAUGCGGCUUUCGGGCUGCGUCGGUAUUCUGGAAAGAUGUCCAAACUGUAUCAUUUAGAGGAAGUAAAAGUCGUAACA
RNAcentral lists this ribosomal RNA (327 nucleotides) under uncultured eukaryote. RNAcentral describes it as "partial 18S ribosomal RNA". It matches the Rfam family "Eukaryotic small subunit ribosomal RNA", at positions 1470 to 1796 of the family's 1831-position model. The record is from RNAcentral.